CACAAAUUGUUUUAUUGCUAAACAAAUUAUUUUUUUAUUGCAAUCAUGGAUGUUUAAAACAAAUAACAUAUAAUUUCAGACUCAGCAGAAGAUGGAUCAAUGUGGAGUGAGAGGGAAGAUGAAGUAAAACUCAGUUUCAUAGUGUAGAAUUUUUUGAAUCCCAUCUUCAAUUUAACAUGCACAGCAGAUAGAUGAAGGUUAAGGAUUCACAUCACGUAUCUUGGUGGAUCAACGUGACAGAGGACAACAGAAUCGCAGCUAGUUGUAAAUCAAGGGGCCAAAGACAUGGAUGGACCACAAAGGCAACGAAGGACAUGGAGGAUCAACAUAUUUGUUUAAGAAUUUUAAUUAAAUCCUACCGUAUUUGCAAAGACCCAAAAACCAUUUGCAGCACCAUCGAUUUGCAUAUCAUCAAACACACCAAAAAUAAUGAAGCACCACACAUUGUUAUAACACUUUUCAUAUGAAAAUAUGAAAAAGACAAUUGUAGAAUCAAUUUGGAGUAAAGGUAUAAUUAUUCUCCUUACCAAUGGUUCUUCUCCAAUCUAUCAAAUCUUCCCUUUUAUGGUGAAGAAAAAACCUAACGAAGCCAAAUGGAUGAUUGAGGAAGAAAUUUUUGGUCGAGGUGAAAUCUGAUCGCUACUUCUUUCUCUCAUGAACCCUAACUAUUUGUGAGAAAAGGGGAAACGGUAGGAAGAGAGGAAAAAACGCAAUAAAAAGAAGAUGGAUAAUUAUUUAAUUUCACACAACAAAUGCCAACUUUCCUCUCUGCUUUCUCAUUUUCUCUCCAAAACAAGGAGAAAAUACCCAGGUGAAAAUAACAGCAAUUUUCCCCUUCUUUUUUAUUUUCUCUCUGUUAUCCAAACAGCAGAAAAUGUCUCAUCACGGUUAUUUUCCUCUGUUUAUUUUCCUUUCCUUCCCUUUUCCCCUUAUCCAAACAGAGUGUUAAGCCUACUCUCUAGCCCACCUACAGCUUUCAAGACCAGCGCCACACAAGUAUCGGUGGAGAAAGCGAAGCUCUGCAAUUUACCACCCGCCGGAAUUGGCUCACAACCUGUUGCAACUCACAUUCAAUUAUUGCAUAAGUAGAAAUUUUUGAGUAAUGCAAAAAAUAGUUUCGUGUUUUGUUUGGUUUGUAUUAUUAAAUUAAUUUCUUGAGAGCAGAGCACUUUAUUUUUUUGUGUGUGUUGGUGUGCAUAUGGUGUGUAUUGGUGUGGAUUUAGAUAUUGAUAGAAUGGAUAGUUGCAGUUAGUAUUUGAUCUCACUGGCUCUGCAUAUGGAUUAUUAUGCAAAAGUCCAGCUUGAGUUGACGUUAUUGAUAGGUAUUUGAUUAAGAGAGUUGUGUUGGGGAUCUCCCAUAUAUAUAUAUAUAUAGUGAUUGAUACAUGGGUGCGUGUGUGUUUCAAAUGAUCUUUUGUGCGAAUAUUGGUUGA
RNAcentral lists this unclassified non-coding RNA (1433 nucleotides) under Hevea brasiliensis (rubber tree). Lineage: Eukaryota; Viridiplantae; Streptophyta; Magnoliopsida; Malpighiales; Euphorbiaceae. The record is from RNAcentral.